CCCCUGAUAGCUCAGUUGGAAGAGCGUGAGAUUGUAAUUGGACAUUCGAAUCUUCAAGAUUCUCUCGAGGCCGCUGGUUCGAUUCCGGCUUAGGGGA
This is a non-coding RNA of Jaminaea rosea, 97 nucleotides long. The record is from the annotation of a RefSeq genome assembly. NCBI's taxonomy places the organism in Eukaryota, Fungi, Basidiomycota, Exobasidiomycetes, Microstromatales.